Molecule: ribosomal RNA, 125 nt
Filed under: Gorilla gorilla gorilla (western lowland gorilla)
Lineage: Eukaryota; Metazoa; Chordata; Mammalia; Primates; Hominidae
Source: RNAcentral
GUCUACUGCCAUACCACCCUGAACACGCCCGAUCUCGUCUGAUCUUGGAAGCUAAGCAGGGUCAGGCCUGGUUGGUACCUGGAUGGGAGAAUGGUUGCUUCAAAAGAGCCUGGGGGCCAAGCACA